UGGAAGUAAAAGUCGUAACAAGGUCUCCGUUGGUGAACCAGCGGAGGGAUCAUUACCGAGUUUACAACUCCCAAACCCAAUGUGAACGUUACCAAACUGUUGCCUCGGCGGGAUCUCUGCCCCGGGUGCGUCGCAGCCCCGGACCAAGGCGCCCGCCGGAGGACCAACCUAAAACUCUUAUUGUAUACCCCCUCGCGGGUUUUUUUUUAUAAUCUGAGCCUUCUCGGCGCCUCUCGUAGGCGUUUCGAAAAUGAAUCAAAACUUUCAACAACGGAUCUCUUGGUUCUGGCAUCGAUGAAGAACGCAGCGAAAUGCGAUAAGUAAUGUGAAUUGCAGAAUUCAGUGAAUCAUCGAAUCUUUGAACGCACAUUGCGCCCGCCAGUAUUCUGGCGGGCAUGCCUGUCCGAGCGUCAUUUCAACCCUCGAACCCCUCCGGGGGGUCGGCGUUGGGGAUCGGCCCUCCCUUAGCGGGUGGCCGUCUCCGAAAUACAGUGGCGGUCUCGCCGCAGCCUCUCCUGCGCAGUAGUUUGCACACUCGCAUCGGGAGCGCGGCGCGUCCACAGCCGUUAAACACCCAACUUCUGAAAUGUUGACCUCGGAUCAGGUAGGAAUACCCGCUGAACUUAAGCAUAUCAAUAAGCGGAGGA
This 647-nucleotide ribosomal RNA is filed under the name Trichoderma lixii. RNAcentral's name for it is "eukaryotic LSU rRNA". The stretch from base 260 to 413 matches the Rfam family "5.8S ribosomal RNA". Lineage: Eukaryota; Fungi; Ascomycota; Sordariomycetes; Hypocreales; Hypocreaceae. The record is from RNAcentral.